GAUGAACGCUGGCGGCGUGCCUAAUACAUGCAAGUCGAACGCAUAGCGAAAGGUGCUUGCCCCUUUCAAGUGAGUGGCGAACGGGGGAGUAACACGUGGACAACCUGCCUCAAGGCUGGGGAUAACAUUUGGAAACAGAUGCUAAUACCGAAUAAAACUUAGUGUCACAUGACACAAAGUUAAAAGGCGCUUCGGCGUCACCUAGAGAUGGAUCCGCGGUGCAUUAGUUAGUUGGUGGGGUAAAGGCCUACCAAGACAAUGAUGCAUAGCCGAGUUGAGAGACUGAUCGGCCACAUUGGGACUGAGACACGGCCCAAACUCCUACGGGAGGCUGCAGUAGGGAAUCUUCCACAAUGGGCGAAAGCCUGAUGGAGCAACGCCGCGUGUGUGAUGAAGGCUUUCGGGUCGUAAAGCACUGUUGUAUGGGAAGAACAGCUAGAAUAGGAAAUGAUUUUAGUUUGACGGUACCAUACCAGAAAGGGACGGCUAAAUACGUG
Molecule: ribosomal RNA, 497 nt
Filed under: uncultured bacterium
Lineage: Bacteria
Description: partial 16S ribosomal RNA
Rfam family: Bacterial small subunit ribosomal RNA
Source: RNAcentral